Molecule: ribosomal RNA, 440 nt
Filed under: uncultured bacterium
Lineage: Bacteria
Description: partial 16S ribosomal RNA
Rfam family: Bacterial small subunit ribosomal RNA
Source: RNAcentral
CCUACGGGAGGCAGCAGUGGGGAAUAUUGCACAAUGGGGGAAACCCUGAUGCAGCGACGCCGCGUGAGUGAAGAAGUAAUUCGUUAUGUAAAGCUCUAUCAGCAGGGAAGAAAAUGACGGUACCUGAGUAAGAAGCCCCGGCUAACUACGUGCCAGCAGCCGCGGUAAGACGUAGGGGGCAAGCGUUAUCCGGAUUUACUGGGUGUAAAGGGAGCGUAGACGGCAGUGCAAGUCUGGAGUGAAAGGCGGGGGCUCAACCCCCGGACUGCUCUGGAAACUGUACGGCUGGAGUGCAGGAGAGGUAAGUGGAAUUCCUAGUGUAGCGGUGAAAUGCGUAGAUAUUAGGAGGAACACCAGUGGCGAAGGCGGCUUACUGGACUGUAACUGACGUUGAGGCACGAAAGCGUGGGGAGCAAACAGGAUUAGAUACCCCAGUAGUC